UACGUAGGGCGCAAGCGUUGUCCGGAAUUAUUGGGCGUAAAGAGCUCGUAGGCGGUCUGUCGCGUCGGCUGUGAAAACCCGAGGCUCAACCUCGGGCCUGCAGUCGAUACGGGCAAGCUAGAAUUCGGUAGGGGAGACUGGAAUUCCUGGUGUAGCGGUGAAAUGCGCAGAUAUCAGGAGGAACACCGAUGGCGAAGGCAGCUCGCUGGGACGGUACUGACGCUGAGGCGCGAAAGCGUGGGGAGCAAACAGG
RNAcentral lists this ribosomal RNA (253 nucleotides) under uncultured bacterium. RNAcentral's name for it is "partial 16S ribosomal RNA". It matches the Rfam family "Bacterial small subunit ribosomal RNA", at positions 524 to 776 of the family's 1533-position model. The record is from RNAcentral.